CAUGGGGACAACAGCUGGAAACGGCUGCUAAUACCGAGUAAGCUCCAAUGACCGCAUGGUAAUUGGAGGAAAGAUGGCCUCUGCAUAUGCUAUCGGGAAAGGAUGGACCCGCGUCUGAUUAGAUAGUUGGUGAGGUAACGGCUCACCAAGUCGACGAUCAGUAGCCGGCCUGAGAGGGUGGCCGGCCACAUUGGGACUGAGACACGGCCCAG
RNAcentral lists this ribosomal RNA (212 nucleotides) under uncultured bacterium. Its description in RNAcentral is "partial 16S ribosomal RNA". It matches the Rfam family "Bacterial small subunit ribosomal RNA", at positions 136 to 334 of the family's 1533-position model. The record is from RNAcentral.